RNAcentral lists this ribosomal RNA (484 nucleotides) under uncultured bacterium. RNAcentral describes it as "partial 16S ribosomal RNA". It matches the Rfam family "Bacterial small subunit ribosomal RNA", at positions 30 to 507 of the family's 1533-position model. The record is from RNAcentral.
AUUGAACGCUGGCGGCAGGCCUAACUCAUGCAAGUCGAGCGGAUGAAGGGAGCUUGCUCCUGGAUUCAGCGGCGGACGGGUGAGUAAUGCCUAGGAAUCUGCCUGGUAGUGGGGGAUAACGUCGGGAAACGGGCGCUAAUACCGCAUACGUCCUGAGGGGGAAAGUGGGGGAUCUUCGGACUUCACGCUAUCAGAUGAGCCUAGGUCGGAUUAGCUAGUUGGUGGGGUAAAGGCCUACCAAGGCGACGAUCCGUAACUGGUCUGAGAGGAUGAUCAGUCACACUGGAACUGAGACACGGUCCAGACUCCUACGGGAGGCAGCAGUGGGGAAUAUUGGACAAUGGGCGAAAGCCUGAUCCAGCCAUGCCGCGUGUGUGAAGAAGGUCUUCGGAUUGUAAAGCACUUUAAGUUGGGAGGAAGGGCAGUAAGUUAAUACCUUGCUGUUUUGACGUUACCAACAGAAUAAGCACCGGCUAACUUCGUG